AGAAGCCCACCCCGAACGGCACAAAAUAGGAAAAAAGAAAACCCACCCCAUCUUCCCCAUCUUGUCGUCGACCCACCACAUCCGGCACCCCGCUGCCGGCCACCUCCCGGCGCCCCGGCUUCUUGACCCGCCGCCAGCCACCUCCGGCGCCCCAACUUCUUGACCCGCCGCCAGCCACCUCACCAUGCCCCUGAUUCUUUCCCUGCCACCUCCCCGCGGCCCGACUUCUUUCCCGCCUCCGGCCUCCUCCUCGCGCCCCGGCUUCUUCCCGGCCGUCGGCCUCCUCCUCGCGCCCCAGCUUCUUCCCCGCCGCCGGCCUCCUCCUCUUGCCCCGACUUCUUCCCCGUUGCCGGCCUCCUCCUCGCGCCCCAGCUUCUUCCCCUCCGUUGGCCUUCUCGUCGCGUCCCGGCUUCUUCCCCGCCGGAGCGGCCAACCACAAGAUCCGGUCGCCACAUCCCCAUGACGCCCCCAGCAACGGCGCCCGGACCUCGACACCACCCGGCUCGGGGGACUCCAAGCCCCGGCGCUGCCGACCCCUGCACUACCUCAUCCGGCGACGAUCCACGCCAUCACUCUGCCUCGUUCCGGUGGGGGAUCCAUGGCCACUACGCCAGUCCAAUACCACCGCCGCAAGCCGGCCACAUCCACAAUGACCAGACCGGCUGCCCCGCGCCUCAGCCCCCCGUAUGCACGCCACCAAGUGCCUCUGUGCACUACCCCCGCCUCCCCCAUCAGGUUGCAGCCCGAGCCACACGGUGCCGCAUCUUGUUGAGAUCACUGCCUUGCCGUGGUUCCAGCGGUACACAGGAGGAUGGAUGCCCUGGUGCCGUACGCCCAGGUUUUGAUGCGAUGCUCUUCUGCUCAUGACGCUGGAGCCCUAGUGCCCCACUACACAUGAAACGAGAGACAUGUACAGAAGUUCACCUAAAAAAAGGCUAGCAGUUCUUCCCAAAGAGACAACAGUUCUAAGAAAAGAAGGUAGAAAAAAAGGGUAGCUCAACGUACAAAAAAUUGGAGGUUUAGAGACCACAAACAAAGACGAAAACAAUUUCAGUGGCACAAUCAGUUUAGUUUCUAUUUUUAGUUCAGUUCAAUUAUUAUUUUUAGUUUCGUUCAGUUCAAUAUUGUCAAUGAACUGAUAUACAUACAAAUAAGAAAUUAUAUUCAUUUAUUUGGUACAGACUUAGUUAUUAGUUUUGGAGACCAGAAUAUCAGUUCAGUUAUUUUAUCAUUUUGUACCGAUUCCACUCAUUGUAUGAACUGGUGCAUCACCAUGGAAGUAAAAAAGAAAGGAAACAUCAGUCCAGCUACUAGACAUGGAUGUGAUUUUCUAUGUAAAUAUCUAGCGGGAGCUGCAGCUGGUGAGCGUCUGUGCCCUGCUGAUUGCGUGCAAGUACGAUGAGAUUUGGGCUCCAGAGGUACGUAGGUUGAAUGAUGGAUCAUCCAUCCAUUCUGCUGUUCGUUCGUUCAUUGAGUCCGCGUUCUGAUUGGUGGCUGUUUUGUGCGUAGGGAUGGCAAUUUUUCCCAUGGGUAUGGGUACCCGUGGGUACCCUACCCGAAAACAAUGAGAAUGGGCAAGACUUGAAGAGAUUUUCUACCCACGGGUAAUGGGUACCCAUAUCCACAAAAUGUAUGGGUAGGGCAUGGGUAAGAAAUUGUGCCCAUGGGUAACCCAAUGGAUACCCAGAAAAAAAUAACAAAUGAAAAUAAUUCCUAUAACAUGUGGGGUUAACAUCCAACUCAUAUGGUCUAACCCUAAAUCUUGUAUUCCUUAAACAAGUCAUAGCUCAUAGGCUCAUAAUCACCUGCUUGCCACUCCUCAUACGUCCUAUGUGACUCCUCAAAAAUAUGAAAUAUCGACUCUUCGCUACCAGACUCUUGUCGAACACUCGAUCCAGCGAUCCCCAAUUCCCACCACCGCCUUCCACUACGUCGGCCUUCCACCAACCGCUGCUCAUACUCCCCUGAUGCCUCCAAGAGGCCACCCACUGGAGGAGGCCACAUACGUGCUAUAGUUCUCUACCAUGAUCACUUGAAUUUUGAACUCAUUUCUCUACCUCUUAAGAAUUUGAAUGCUAUAUAUUGUACCCAAUGGAUACCCAUUGGGUAUAGGAUACCCGAUGGGUAUGGGCAUGGGUGUCAGUUUAUACCCAUGGGUAUUGAAGUGGGUGGGUAUAAAAAAUUUCUAUGGGUAUGGGUUUGGGUAGAAGGAGGUUGUACCCGCCCAUACCCUACCCAUUGCCAUCCCUAUUUGUGCGCCAACCUGCAGGUGAAUGACUUCAAAUUGUUCUCCGACAACACAUAUACAGGGAGCAGAUUCUGAGGAUGGAGAAGGCAAUCCUGAACAUGCUUGAGUGGAACUUGACAGUGCCCACACCUUACGUCUUCCUUGUCCGAUUCGCCAAGGCCGCGUCCUCCUGAGAUAAGAAGAACGGCAAGGAGGUAAAAGGAACACCAGAUUUUUAGCAAAUUCUUCAGAUGUAGUACGUAUCUUCCAUUUUGCCAAAGCAGUGAGUCUAUGUGCUGAAGUUUCUCGCGUCUUCUCUUGGAUGUAUUUGUCUAAAUGGAGAGCACUGUCUUUUUUGUGUGGAGCUGGCGCUGCUGCAGUAUGGACAGGAACAAUGCGUUGAUGUCGAGCAAAACACAGAGACAAGGUUAGAAAGUUCAACAUGUGAUUGGAAUUCAGUGCAAAAGCUGCAGGUGCGAGAUGGCGGCCGCCGACGUUGCUAAAUCCUUCUACAAACUAGUGGUUGGCUGCUUCGAGCGGUAAAUGUGGUCGGAUUCAGCAGCUAGCUCUUCCUCGAGCAACCAUUUGGAGAAUUUUAUUGUCUUCUUGUGGUGGUGAUUGAUUUUAGGAUCAGUAAAUUUGACAUUGGUAGCUAGCUUGCGUAUGGAACCUGCAAGUUCAAUAUUGGUAUUAGAUUUAGUUUCUUGUUGUACAAAUGUCCCAGUUCAGCUACAGAAAUCAUGCAGGUUUAGUGAUGAUGAUACCAUAAGUUCGGACAAGAAAAUUUAUGUAUAUGAUGAGAUGAUUGCUACUUCUUCAAAGAAGGUAUUGUACAUGACAGCUUGAUGUGCAUACAAGAAUAAAGAAAAUGUUUGAAUCAAAAA
Molecule: long non-coding RNA, 3111 nt
Organism: Triticum aestivum (bread wheat)
Lineage: Eukaryota; Viridiplantae; Streptophyta; Magnoliopsida; Poales; Poaceae
Exons: 4
Source: RefSeq, a predicted model, not a curated record